GACGAACGCUGGCGGCGUGCUUAACACAUGCAAGUCGAACGGAAAGGCCCUGCUUUUGUGGGGUGCUCGAGUGGCGAACGGGUGAGUAACACGUGAGUAACCUGCCCUUGACUUUGGGAUAACUUCAGGAAACUGGGGCUAAUACCGGAUAGGAGCUCCUGCUGCAUGGUGGGGGUUGGAAAGUUUCGGCGGUUGGGGAUGGACUCGCGGCUUAUCAGCUUGUUGGUGGGGUAGUGGCUUACCAAGGCUUUGACGGGUAGCCGGCCUGAGAGGGUGACCGGCCACAUUGGGACUGAGAUACGGCCCGGCCUCCUACGGGAGGCAGCAGUGGGGAAUAUUGCACGAUGGGCGGAAGCCUGAUGCAGCAACGCCGCGUGCGGGAUGACGGCCUUCGGGUUGUAAACCGCUUUCGCCUGUGACGAAGCGUGAGUGACGGUAAUGGGUAAAGAAGCACCGGCUAACUACGUG
This 468-nucleotide ribosomal RNA is filed under the name uncultured bacterium. Its description in RNAcentral is "partial 16S ribosomal RNA". It matches the Rfam family "Bacterial small subunit ribosomal RNA", at positions 28 to 507 of the family's 1533-position model. The record is from RNAcentral.